This 98-nucleotide ribosomal RNA is filed under the name Escherichia coli. The record is from RNAcentral. RNAcentral also lists the same sequence under 3 other names. Lineage: Bacteria; Pseudomonadati; Pseudomonadota; Gammaproteobacteria; Enterobacterales; Enterobacteriaceae.
UCUGGCGGCAGUAGCGCGGUGGUCCCACCUGACCCCAUGCCGAACUCAGAAGUGAAACGCCGUAGCGCCGAUGGUAGUGUGGGGUCUCCCCAUGCGAG